GCCCAGAGUACCUGCUUUGCAAAGACUUCUCAUUGGGCUGCACUUGGAAGUCUGUGAUUGGACAACCACAUAAAGUCUGGGCGGAGUUCGAAAGGGAAAGUUUGCAAAGGCAGCAAACAAGAGAACUGCAGCUUGGGCAAGCUGGUUUUAGAUAUAUAUUCAUAUAUUCACAAUAUCUACUAAACUGUUUUCUCUUUAAGUGUUCUUGCAUAACCAGACCACUUAAUAUUAUCUCACAUAUAUAUUAUUCUUAUUCUUAUUAUAGCCAAAUUUACCACCCUAACUCCUCCCACAGGUUUUACCCUACAUAGACAGUAAUAUACCGAAACAUGCGGAUUGUUCCCGAUUGGAUUGCCAUUACUUUGUGGAACGUUUCGCCGAAUGGUUCACGGAAUAUCAUCAUUCUUGUGGCGAAAUUGGUCCCAUAGGAAUGAAUGGCAAAAUGUUCAAAACUAGAAUGGGAG
Pelobates cultripes (western spadefoot toad) is the source of this 464-nucleotide non-coding RNA. The record is from the annotation of a GenBank genome assembly. NCBI's taxonomy places the organism in Eukaryota, Metazoa, Chordata, Amphibia, Anura, Pelobatidae.